ACGAACGCUGGCGGCGUGCUUAACACAUGCAAGUCGAACGCUGAAGCUCAGCUUUUGUUGGGUGGAUGAGUGGCGAACGGGUGAGUAACACGUGAGUAACCUGCCCCCUUCUUUGGGAUAACGCCCGGAAACGGGUGCUAAUACUGGAUAUUCACUGGUCUUCGCAUGGGGGUUGGUGGAAAGGGUUUUUCUGGUGGGGGAUGGGCUCGCGGCCUAUCAGCUUGUUGGUGGGGUGAUGGCCUACCAAGGCUUUGACGGGUAGCCGGCCUGAGAGGGUGACCGGUCACAUUGGGACUGAGAUACGGCCCAGACUCCUACGGGAGGCAGCAGUGGGGAAUAUUGCACAAUGGGCGCAAGCGUGAUGCAGCGACGCCGCGUGAGGGAUGGAGGCCUUCGGGUUGUGAACCUCUUUCGCUCAUGGUCAAGCCGCAACAAUGGUUGUGGUGAGGGUAGUGGGUAAAGAAGCGCCGGCUAACUACGUG
RNAcentral lists this ribosomal RNA (482 nucleotides) under uncultured bacterium. RNAcentral's name for it is "partial 16S ribosomal RNA". It matches the Rfam family "Bacterial small subunit ribosomal RNA", at positions 29 to 507 of the family's 1533-position model. The record is from RNAcentral.